This 73-nucleotide transfer RNA is filed under the name Polaromonas sp. CG_9.2. RNAcentral describes it as "tRNA-OTHER". RNAcentral also lists the same sequence under 1 other name. Lineage: Bacteria; Pseudomonadati; Pseudomonadota; Betaproteobacteria; Burkholderiales; Comamonadaceae. The record is from RNAcentral.
AACGUGGGCAAAUACCUAUUAAGCUGGACUCAUAAUCCUUUGGUCCACGGUUCAAGUCCGUGACGCCCCACCA